UAUGCUUAACACAUGCAAGUCGAACGAGACGAGAUGGAAGUGCUUGCACGGAAAUCUUAGAAAGUGGCGAACGGGUGAGUAACGCGUGGGUAACCUGCCCUAUGGAAAGGAAUAGCCUCGGGAAACUGGGAGUAAUGCCUUAUAAUAUAAAGAAGUCGCAUGGCUUUUUUAUUAAACGCUCCGGUGCCAUAGGAUGGACCCGCGUCCCAUUAGCUAGUUGGUGAGAUAACAGCUCACCAAGGCGACGAUGGGUAACCGGUCUGAGAGGGCGAACGGUCACACUGGAACUGAGACACGGUCCAGACUCCUACGGGAGGCAGCAGUGGGGAAUAUUGCGCAAUGGGGGAAACCCUGACGCAGCAAUACCGCGUGAGUGAAGAAGGUUUUCGGAUCGUAAAGCUCUGUUAUUGGGG
RNAcentral lists this ribosomal RNA (413 nucleotides) under uncultured bacterium. RNAcentral describes it as "bacterial SSU rRNA". It matches the Rfam family "Bacterial small subunit ribosomal RNA", at positions 43 to 444 of the family's 1533-position model. The record is from RNAcentral.